This 96-nucleotide ribosomal RNA is filed under the name Amphilophus citrinellus (Midas cichlid). The record is from RNAcentral. Lineage: Eukaryota; Metazoa; Chordata; Actinopteri; Cichliformes; Cichlidae.
CUUCACCGCCACCGUGCUGCCUCUGAUUCUAAGCAGGGUCGGGCCUGGUUGGUACUUGGAUGGGAGACCACCUGGGAAUACCAGGUGCUGUAAGCA